GUCCACGCCGUAAACUAUGAAUACUAGGUGUAGGUGGUAUCGACUCCAUCUGUGCCGACGCAAACGCAUUAAGUAUUCCGCCUGGGACUACGGCCGCAAGGUUGAAACUCAAAGAAUUUACGGGACCCGCACAAGCAGCGGAGCAUGGGGUUUAAUUCGACGCAACGCGAAACCUUACCAGAACUUGACAUCGAGUGAAGAACCUUGUAAUGAGGUUCGUCCCUUCGGGGACACGAAGACAGGUGUUGCAUGGUUGUCGU
Molecule: ribosomal RNA, 260 nt
Filed under: uncultured bacterium
Lineage: Bacteria
Description: partial 16S ribosomal RNA
Rfam family: Bacterial small subunit ribosomal RNA
Source: RNAcentral